RNAcentral lists this long non-coding RNA (2080 nucleotides) under Oreochromis niloticus (Nile tilapia). RNAcentral describes it as "lncRNA (ENSONIG00000043144.1)". Lineage: Eukaryota; Metazoa; Chordata; Actinopteri; Cichliformes; Cichlidae. The record is from RNAcentral.
CUCCCAUAGUGUAGGUCAUUUGACACUUACUGCUGUUUUGAAGACAGUAAUAAUAACAUGUAAAAUGUAUUAAUUACAUAUAUAGUAAAACACAUUUUCGCUUCUUCUUGUACGUUAGCCAGACUUCUAACCGGAAGUCACAACCAUUUGGGGGUACAAAUAUAUGAAAAUAUUUCUACCUGCUAAUAUUUUAUAAAUGUCUGCAGUUCAGUAUGUAUGUAUGGCUUCACCCACGCAAUUGGGUCUCGAUUAGCUAUAAUAAUAAAUAAUACAAAUUCCAAAUUGCAUAAUGCCCGUAACAGGUGGAAACAAGCACACCUGUUGAAUGGAAGAGUCUGAUCUUUUUUUUUUAGGUAGCGGUAGGUCAUUUAGCGACUUUGCUUCUUAUCGCCUGUUACGUGCAUUAUCAGCGUUACUCCAAUUUUAUUCCACUUAUUUAUUUGUUCAUUUUUUAAAAAAACUAUAUAUAUUUAUUUAUUCCAUUGGUUCCAGUAACAAGCAAGGAGAAAGAGUUUGUUUGGUUUUACCCGAUAAGAAAAGCUUUAAGAAGAACAGUCUCCAAAACUUUCCAAACUGCCGUAAGUAUUGUAAUUUUAAGGGGGAAAAUAAAAGGGUAAAAGUUAGCGACUGAAAAGUAAACCUUAUUGUGAUGGUUCUAACUGUUGAAGUGAGGGUCAGCUACAGGUGAAGCAAUAGUACUAAACACAAACUCAUUAGUUUAAUGUGUGUGUCACGCUUUUCAAGUGGUGUGCAGGGCUUUACCUACUAUUGGUCGCUAAAAUGAUACAGUAAAGAUAAAUGAAUAAAAAUCAUGACAUAUACUAAGAUAUCUUAGUCCAAAAACAUGGCACUACUUUAAAGGUGGGAUGGUGCUCGUCAUUUAUACAGAGCCAUUUCCACCAUUAUGUAUAACACAGUAGCCAUGCCUUUCGCUUAGGACAGGACAAAUUGACUUUAAAUUGUUAAGAACAUUAAAACAUGGCAAUAUUACUUGACUUGGGAAAGUAGGAGACUCCAGCAACAGGCCAGAAGUAACAUAACUGAACUGGUUUUACAUAGUACCAUGGAAGUUGAUAUUUUAUUUGGGUAAUUUUAGGGUUUAAAUAAAGUAACUAUGGCUCAGGCACCAUUUACCAACACUUAUUAAUAUUAUUGAUCCACUUGUAUUCAUUGAGGUCCUGUAAACAACAUCUUGCGUACUAGAAAUGUAGCUCAAAACUUCUGUUUUUUUAGUAACAGGAACCACAUCAGGGAAUUGGAAAAACUCCCAAAUCUCAGGGGCAGAAACUAAUCUCGUGAGUUAUAGCUGUGCAAGUUCACAUGGAUGAUGCGUGCACAUUAAAUCAGCAUUGCGGUGCAUUUUACCAUUAUUUUUUUUUUUUACCAAAGAGUGUCCUACCAGAGUGUGUUUUUGCCCAAGGCCUUUACGUUUUAAAACACAGCUGAUUAACUGUGGUCCUUAAAGAUUCUUCCUUUAUUUGAAUAUGAAUGUUUGCCGUUGACCUCUUUGACCCAUCUUAGUUGUGAAACCAGAAAGGAUAGAAGUGUAUUUGUCAGUGAUUAAAACACUUGGGACCUUCUUUCCAGCAGUAAAUUUCAAAUGCACGGUCUUUUGUCCCUGAUAUUCACCAAUGCUUUUAUGAACAGAGUGCCUUUGGGCAUGCAAGCCUCUGUAGUCUGGAAUGGCUCAGUUGCAGACAUUAGUUACCAAGGGUCUUGAGUUCGGUGCUCCCCGUCAGCAUUUUGGAGCAGCACAAUGGACCAUAGCAGCUAGUUCACGUUCAUUACACAAUGUUCCAGUCCAGCUCAUGCUGUGGUAGAGCCGGAGAAGGGAAAUAGUGACUUUUGAUUAAACGGCUGAGUAAUUGUGUUUUGCCAUUAGCGUACCGCAGUCGAUUCAUUCAUGUCGAUGUUGACUGAGCUCAGUGCAUUGUGAGGUUUGGCUCAUCGGAACAACAAUCAGCAUUUGUUAGGGAAAUUUAAAGGAAAAUCUGAUGGAGUAUGUUUUGUAAGAACUGUGGUGUUUAUGCCUAGGGAGGGGGGCGGGUAGUUGAAUCAAAAUACAAAAGGCCAGUCUGUA